CACGCCGUAAACGAUGAAUACUAGGUGUCGGGGUCCAAAAGGACUUCGGUGCCGCAGCUAACGCAAUAAGUAUUCCACCUGGGGAGUACGUUCGCAAGAAUGAAACUCAAAGGAAUUGAC
RNAcentral lists this ribosomal RNA (120 nucleotides) under uncultured bacterium. Its description in RNAcentral is "partial 16S ribosomal RNA". It matches the Rfam family "Bacterial small subunit ribosomal RNA", at positions 796 to 914 of the family's 1533-position model. The record is from RNAcentral.